CGGGCACACCAUGAAGUCGAACAAUCUCCCGAAUAUAGAUCUCAGUGAUACGGUGCAUGAAAUUGUUGCUCGAUCGUGCAAGGAGCAGCAGAGACAAAUUGAGGUAUAGGCUCAUGUUCUUGUAUCGCUUCUCAACCUUUUUACUUUUUCUUUAGAAGAGUAAUCUGUGUUAGCCUCUAAUUAUUUUAGUCCAUUUGAUCUAUUGACAAUUUAGUACAACUACACCCCCCCGCCCCCC
Molecule: long non-coding RNA, 238 nt
Organism: Nicotiana attenuata
Lineage: Eukaryota; Viridiplantae; Streptophyta; Magnoliopsida; Solanales; Solanaceae
Exons: 2
Source: RefSeq, a predicted model, not a curated record